UCUUCCCUCCUUCAGCUUAAAACCAUUUCCCCUUGUCCUGCUGUUAUCUACCCUUUCAAAGAGUUGAUGACUUCUGUGCAAAAAUGUGAUAGAACUGAAUGGCUGCAGUGAGUAGAUUUAAUGCUGAGUGCUCCAUCUUGUCCUCAUGUGGCAGACAAGCAAUUUAUCACUAUACAUAAUGUAUUUUACUGAACUGAAAAAAAAAGUACUCCAUAAAAUGAAUCGCAGAACAGCUUGGGUUGGAAGGGACCUCAAAGAUCAUCAAGUUCCAACCACCCGGCUGCAGACAGUGUUGCCAGGCACUAGAUCAAGUACUAGAUCAGAUUGCCCAAGGUCCCAACUAGCCUAGCCUUAAACACCUCUAGGAAUGGGGCAUCAGGCUCUUCUGAAGACAUAUCGCAUUACUGAACCAUGUUUUAAACAUGAUAUCAUUUUGCUCAGCUGUGUGGUAAUAAAGAUUUUUCUUUUUUUUAUAUUAGCAUUACGUUUUCUACAUGAAUACAGCCGAAGAUGUAUUAAAUUGGUGGCUAUUAUUUUCUUCUUCCACUUCUCAGCUAACAAGCAUCUCAUGACCGGUGUAUUUGUGAUCAGGUUGUAAUUCUUCAAGGAAUAACUUUUCUUACCUAUUAAUAGCUAAGACAGGGAAAAAAGAAAAAGCAGUUUCUGUCCAGAAUUGUUGUCUGGCUUCAAGGUCAACCUUACCUCAGACAGACUAAUCUCAAAGGAGAGGCUUAAGUAGGUAAAAUAUGCUGUUUAUGCUUUGCUAGAGAGAUAGGGGAUAUUUUCUGACUUGUAAUGCUGCACUGCUUUUGUCCCAUUUGUCACUAAUACAGCAGAUGCUGUUUCACCAACAUGUACAAUUAUUUUCUCACACCUGAUAGUUCUGGACAAGUAUAACUAAAGGUUUUAUGAAGGGUGAGUAAUAAGCCUGUAUGAUGGUGAGAACUGACUUCCCCACUAUUUCAAGGUCCUAAAAGGAAAAGGAGAUAUCACUACAGUAAGACCCCCCAUCUGCCACAGGUUUUCAAUAUCUCUGUAAUUUAUUUGUAAUGUUACAGAUAGUAUCUGGAACAGCUGUAGUUAACUGAAGAUACCCACUUUACAUCAUUGGUAGCUAACAAACUAUGACAUCCAUAUUAAUAUAAAUUCAGGUUCUAACUACAGAUGUUUCAUCAUGUAAUGCUUGCAAGCUAAUUAAUUUUUUCUGGGUUGGAUCUGGUUUACCUAUAAGCACAUUUCCCAGAGGAAAGAUGGGUUGCUGUGCUGCAGAGAUGCCCAACUCAUAAGAACAGAUGAGCCAUAAAAAACUUCAGUUUCAGAUUUUUAUUCCUCAUCCCAAUUGAUUCAUUUUUCCAACAUGUUCUGACUCUUUCCUCAUAUGCUACCUAGACAACACUCAGCACAUUCCCGAAAUGGCCUGAUAUUCCCAUGAGAUGGUCAGAGGCACAGGUGGCCAGGCUUCUUCAGUUCUGCUCUGUAACCCAUUUGCUGCUGCUUGGCUAUCUGCUGGGCUAACCUCCUGUGCCAUCCUCCAACUGCUCCCAGGCCAAAACAAAACACAACUCUGGAGCUUCUGCUGAUGGGUCCUUUCCUAAGCCUUAGCAUCUCUGGUAGUGUGCCAGAAAGCUGUCAGGCACAGCAAGGUGAAAGGACAGAGGAAAAAGGAUGCUGCGAUGGUGCCUGCAGCAAGGCUCACUGCAGGGCUGCCUGCCACAGCCACGACCCUGCAGGCCGCUGAGUGGGUUGAUGCACAGCUGUGUAAAUAUCAGAGAAAGAAUUAUGUUGUUUUCUUUCUUGACGUUCCUGUUCUCUUGUGUAAGAAAAAGCACACAUAGGAAACAUGGUUUAGAGAACUCACUGUAACGCUUGCUAAGCCAAGACCUGUAGUAGUACAGAGGUCAGUCAGUACCAUCAGAAACUUCGUGCUAUAAAUGACUUCCAAAUUUUGUGCAAAUGAAAAGGAGAUGCAGCCUUCUGUGGGGUAAUUUUGUACAUCGUAAUGCAAAGGGGAAAUCAAGGGGAAGGCUCAGCAGCUGGGAGAACACAAAUAGCACAUUCAGUGCUCUUGCAGCUGUUAAGCAGGGAAGGCUAUGCUGUAUUUUGCUUUUAAACGGGAACUGUGCCAGAUACAACCUUUUACAUUUUGAAAACUGUAGCCUUACUUCAGGGGGACUGGCAAAGGCAGUGCCAAGCAGAAGGUUUUUCUGACAGCUGGUUAGAAGCUCUCACUCCCUGCAGCCAGGCACCACAGCUCUUGUGAGCACUAAAAGCAAGCAGCCCCAAAAACACCUGGAGCCAAACCAAGGCCACAUCAGAAAACAGCAGGUUUUAGUUUUGCUUUUGUUUACUCGAAAUACACAUUCCUUCCUGCUUUUGGGAGACGCUGGUAGCGUCUGGCUGCCUGCCCAAAUCUGAUUCUUGUUUGGUAGCAGCUCAGUCAGCCUGAAGCAAAACUAAACAGAACAGUAAUGUAUGCUGUCAAAAACUGGCAAAAUUAUAAACCCAUUAUCUGGAACUUCUACUUAGCGGUGCCCAACGUCUAAUGUGGAAUGAAACUUUUUAAUCUUCUAUUUUUCUCUCACUAGUAUUCAGCUCAGUCCUCUCUUUUGAAAGGAGCUUGUGGAGUGAUUCUGGAGAACAGAAAAGGAGAAGCCUCAGGAAGGAGCUCUGUCUCCCAGCAGCUUUGGUGACAGCUAUCACUGAGUGGAGAAACCCAAUUUUUCUCCUACUCUUGUUAACCAGGGGUGAAGUACGCGGCUGGGAUGUGAUGAGCUCUCCCAAGCUCGUAGCUGUGAAAAUUGAGCAAUGCAGUGACCUCUCUCUGUGGGACUUGUUUGCUUGUAAUUAGAUCAGAGAAAGCCCCGUAUAAACAGAUUAGGACGGCACCAGUUGAGUUUAGAAGUGUUUCAUUAAUUCGGUGUUCCAUGGUCAUUUUGAUGUCAGUCUGUUCUGGGAAUCGCCCAGAAUACGGAGCAUCGUGUGAAAGAUGGAUGCUUUCAGGAGCUCCCGAGGAGCCCCGCAGUGCAUCCACGUUCUGAAAUAUUUUCAGGGGGAGCCUCGUUCCAGGAAAGGCUGCAAACAAAGUGGGCAGAGCAAGCGCCGUCUGCUCGAGGUGCCGCGCACGGGCAGAAACAUACAGACAGGCAGAACUAUGGCUGAAGGUUGGCGCAGCCCUUUCGCUGUAUGAUUUUACAUUACACAGAAUGAGCUACCCAUUCCUGAAGAAGCCUCUGCAUUUCCCUUCUGCUAACGAGAGAUGUGGCAUGUGAAUUACAAAGUCACCAUUCUCCUGGUAUCAAAUUGAUCUCUGCUUUUGAAAGCAUUGCUUUACAAAUACAGCUCUUAACAUACAGCUAGAGUGCAUGGAGUGAAACAAUACCAGCAGUUAGCAAAGUCGUUCGAAGCACUCUACUGAAAGCCUUAUCCACUCUAGGGCAGCUUCCUAUUGAAAUCUUGAAGGUUAAUGUGAGUAAUCUCACUCCAGGAGUCCCUAGCCAUCACAAACAGGCUACUUUAUGAAUCUUUGGUGCGCAUUCCAACGGCUACACUGGAAAUGGGUUUAUUGAGAUAAGUUUGCUCUGAACUUCUUUGAGAUUAGGUCUCCUCCAGACCAGGCAUGGAUGCAUAUGUAUCCUGAAAUAAAAUGUACCCAGCUCAGUCAUCCUUCUGAAGAGUCACCUUGCUUUCCUGGCUAUCAAACCUGCAUCUUUUUUAUCUAUAUUCAGGUGUAUCCUGAUGAAAUGCCACCUCACCAUCUAAUUGCUACAACUACUUGUUGCAAAGCAAGAAGAGAAGUUUUUUAUGUUGUCCAGUUGUCUGCCAGUGAAUGAAUACCCGCUUUAGCACGAACAUGAAACAACCACAUCUAAGUAAGGAAUGCUGUCACGCCACAGAACUACAAAGGCUCUCUGUGGGCUGAUGGAGCAGUACCAUCACCACAGGGUGUGAGAGAAGGGGUUCUGCAGUUCUGCUAGGAAGGGGGAGCUCUUUCAGUGCUAGUUCAAUCACCGUUCAGUGUCUGUAGCGGUAUGGACUCUUCUGACCGAUGUUUUGUUCACCUUAUGAAACUAGUAAACUAAAUCUGCAGACGUCCUGAAACAUCCUGAAUCACAGACAGAAAAUCAACCUGAACUCCAGCUGAGACCCAAACCAAGAAGAUGGCAAAUUAUGGACUGCUAAUAGUGAGCUUGUGAGCUUGCACACACUGCAUUGCUUUCUUUGUCAACAAGCAAACUAUCAUGUCCAGACAGUGGUUAUUCCAGUCUUGCCCUUUUUCCUUCAAAAUGGUGUCUGUUUGAUUUGAAAGACUCUCUUAUAGCAAAAAAGACACAGAAAAGGCAGGCUUUCUACAUCUAGAGUCAGCAUAAAUGCAAAAAUGACAGGAGGGGAGAGUACAAAAUAAAUUCACUGAUGAAUCCCAGACAGUCAUGGACAAACUUGCACCAAGUUUUCCCUUUGCCUAGUUGGCAAAGUAGCCUGUGAUACAGUGCUUUGUGCCCCGGGCAUCUUGAGCUUUACACAGGAAGCAGGGUGUAUUGGAGAGGCAGUCUUCCUGAAGCACAUUGCCUUUUAAUCUUUAAAUUUGCAUACCAUAAUGAACAUGCAGUAAAGUAUUAUUAUUAAUAAUAAUGAUUGUUAUUGUGUUUCCAGUGGUCUAUUAAUGUUCUGAUCAAAAGAAAGAUCUGAAAGGGAAGAGAAUGUAUAUAGAACUUCUUCAACUGCCCCAACAUUCAUACAGCCUCGUUAUCAUAUAGUUGCACUUUCACUUGAGUGAUCCUUUCCCAAAUUUCUUCUGGCAAAGGUUUAUAUUUCUGAAGUCUCUUAGAAUUUGCAUCUUUCAUUUUUAUAUUUAUGGCUGAUCACAUGGUUUACUUACUGCAUCCUACACGUACUUGGAUCUUCACAAAAAACAUAACUAAUCAUCUUGCUCUCUCUUAGCCAAAAUCUGCCAGGAUUGUCUAAGUGCAUUAUCAAUAUGAUGUCAUCAGGUUAGUGGAUGUUAAGGAUGUGAUACAAAUAUUUAUUCAUUGAUGUUCUUAAUGGGUCCGUUUGGGACCUCUUCCUUCCAUCUGUCCUCGGGGUUUGUCCCUUGCCACUAAAACAUGGAAAGUACCUAUUUUGCCUUUGCCUGAAUGUCAUUUGUAGCAAUUUCUCAUUCUGCAGCUGCUCACAGCACAUCUCACAGUUCCUUUUAUUCAGAUGUUUGCUAAGAAAGGGCCUGGGAAAUAGGGACUGAACCUCACCUCCCAGAAUUAAGGAACCAUGACUGGUGAGGAAAAACAAACCAGGAAAUACUUCUGUGCUGUAGCAGAACAUGCAGAUGUCCCUGAAGAUCUACAGGUUUCUGCAAAAAUUAUUUCUUCUUCAACAGCAAUCUAGCGCAGAAUAAAACCAUUUUUCUGUUGGAGAUGUAUGAGGCCACAUGUGAGGGGAUAAGCACGGUACCCAGGCCUUUCAGCUACAACUGCAGGGAAAUGAGCCGGCCAAGAAAACAGCUGGGUGUUCCUGGGAGGCCUUCUGUAACCAAAGGGACUCAGUUCUGUUUUGCAGCCUGGAUGAUCAAUCUGCUCGUGCCAACUUGGGUGACAAGGCCCUGGUAUGUGACAGUCACAGACUUCUCCUGAGUCACAGGGAAAGCUCUUGUGUAUGUUUUCCACCCUCAAAGCUACAGUGAGAAAUGAAGAAAGCAGGAUUUGGGCAUUCUGGAGAUCGUGAUCUUUUACGUACAUCUCAGAAUUUCUCCACUUGCCUCCUUUGGUGUCUCUCUCCCAUCACUUGCAUAUUCUUUGUCUCUUUGUCCCCUAUAUUUUGAUAGUAUUUUCAUAGUCUGUUUGAAAUAUAUGUCCUCUCAACCUUUAAAAAAGUAGUUUCAUACCAAGAGCUUGUAAGCUGAUUUACUCUUAUGCAAGACUAACUCUUGCAUGUCUUCAUUUCUCUAUAGUUACAUCUGAAAAUGUUUCUACAAUUGAAUUAACUCAGAAGUACAAUGCAGGAGCGUUUAUUCUUUUUUACUGUUUAAAAGUCCAUAUAUUUGAUAUCCUGCCUUUAUUUUAUUUUUUUAUUUUUUACUGUAGAGUCAUCAUAGCUCCUUUCUGAAAGUCACCUGGUGCUAGCUGCCAGUAUGUUGCAUGUUUUAGUCCAGGGAGGUCUCUGAUGAGCCCAGCUGCGCUAGAGAAACUUGAACAAGAUGGGUAGUCGUUGAAGGGGACUUGGUUUUGUUCCAGAAUAAGUUUUUGGUUCUGACUAAAUAUGAAACAGGAAAAUGAAGGGGAAUUCCCACCCUUGCCACUCUACAAAUUGAAAUCUUUUUCUAAAGGACAAGAUAACAUCCACAAUGUUUAUCAGCAAGGCAAGGUUUGCAGGGAAAGAAGAUAUACAAAUCCAGCUGGUAUAUGCAUUUUUGAAGGGUGUCAUUAAGGUUGUUUUUCAGCUGUCUCCCCUGGCUACACUAGCUGAUCUAACAGACAGCGCUCUAUUUACAAAGCUUGCCUCACUCAGACUUAGAACAUGCAGGCUUUUCAAGUUUUGUCCGGAAUAGUUUGUGAGUGAUUCUGCCAUCUGGUGGAGAAAGGUUGUUCUUUUUUUUUUUCUUCAUUUUAAACACGCAAAGAAAGGCUCUUGGAAAUAAAUGCAGAAAACUUUCACAAAUCCGCUGAUGCCACUGGAAAAGCAGGACACAAAAUGAACUCUGACUGCAAAAGAAAAACUCACGGCGAAUAUCUGUUCUAUGCUUUGUUUUAUUCUAUCAAAGGCUUAAUUUCUCAAUUCUCUCUUGCCUUCCAGAGCAAGCAUGCCCACGGACGUUUUGGUAUUCUUUCACUCAGCUGGUUUCACAGAGUCUGUCUCAACACCCAGAUUCGAUCAGCCAUCUCAUUAUUUUUAUCUAUGGUAGCUUUGAUUCUGUGAACUUUUCUUGGCAGCUCCUUCUGCCUUUCUUCUGUAUCUAGAGAGAUAUGCAGGCACUGGAUUUUGACUUUUGAUCCAUCUUACUUAUCUUAAAAUCAUGUCAUCCAGAACAAGCCAAGGCCAGAGAUGACACAGCAUGGUAGAACAUUUUGAGAGAAAUGGACCAUGGUAGUGUUACUCAUGAGGGAAAAAUUCCAAACCUGCCUCUGGAUCUGAGAGAGAUUCCUACAUCAUGACCGACUUGGUUGUCCGAAGAUAAGCCACAGUUUCCUUGCGUAGACAAAAUAAGCCUCACACAAACACAUUCAGAAAUGCAGUGCAAUAACUUACGUGUGAGUGCUUUCUACACCAACAGACAGUAUGUAGAAGAUUCAUGAGAAUAUUUGUUUUUCUCCAAUUUCUGCUGAAGAAGAACUGGUAGAAUACAGACCAUCCUUUUUUGGCAGAUACUUUGCCUUUCCUGCUCUUUAACUCUUGCAGUGCAGGAGAUGCCACUAUAUCUAGAUAGGGCAAGUAGAGCUGCAGAGAACUACUGACUUGGGCCUGUUGUCCCUGAUGCCUUAUUAGCCACACUAUCUGCAUACCAGCUCUGCUCAUCAUAUUAUUUUUCAGUUAGAUCAGAUCCCUGAGGUAGUCCUGAGUAGUUCCACAGCGGCUGGGCCAGGUCACAACUGGGAUGGUGGCAGACAGGUGGGCAGGGAAAUGGCAGGAUCUGUUUCAGCUAGCUUAGGCAGUAGUACUAUGCUGCCAAUAUGCAGACAGCUCGAUUGACUUCAAAGCAUACCACUGCAAAAGGGAGCUGCCCUAUUCCCUUUCUCCUCUCCUCACUGCUGGCUGUUGGAUUGACUCAGCUAUCUCUCAUAGUUAAGUGAUGCACUGAAAACAUGUCCUGAGCUCAUUUAACACUCCACACAAUGGUCUUGCCAGGAGCUGUGAAUUCCCAGCCAAGUUUUUCUUGGAGCUGGCUUUGGCUCAUUUGACUGCAGAGCUAUCUGAUUCAACAGCAGGGUGUUUACUUUUAUUUGCUGCAGGUAUGUCAGCUUGCUUUACCAUGCAGUCAGAUAGGCAUGAGACAUCACAGGGAACACACAGCUAGAAGCAGAGACCAGGAGAUGGAAAUGGGGCCCAGGAAUAAUCCCUUCUAAAGGCAGAGAGCCAUUUAGUGGUCUUUCCCUUAUCAUCUCACCGCACCCUGGGUGUCCUGCCACUACCUGUGGUAACAGUCACUUGGGCUGAUAAUUCCUGCGGUGUCUCAUGUGAUAGAACCAAAUUCCCAGAAGUUGCCCUCAAGUGCUGCAUAAGGAGAAAAGUACAUGCUGCCCUACCCACCUUUUCCUGUGUUUCAAGGGAGCUGAAAGCUUUCUUUGCAAGGAAUGUUGGGUUGAUUAUACCUGCAAAGAUGGGAAUUUGCAGACUGUUCUGUUUUAUAGCUCGCUUACUCUGUACUUCAAGCUAAACCUGUUCUCUUCUGUGAGAGCUGCUUUGGCAGUGCACAUCCUGACAUCCAGAGAGCAAGUCUCAGCUGUGUGUUUUGCAUUUCACUUGCGCAGCUGCGUAAGAAAAUUUUUUUACUGAUAGCAAAUGCAUACAUUUUACUGCAGCUACUUAAUAAGAGCGAGAAGGGAGGAUCUCUCAUCACACAGCUAAUCUUUGCAUCACCUUCAAAGCUUUCUCCCCACACAGUUCCAAAAUUAUGAUCUUGAUAUUUCUUUGCCUAGUAGCAGGCAAGAUUUGCUGUUGUUAAUAUAGCUUUGAUCAAGCAGCUCGAGCAAGUAAAGCUGUUACAGUUCCAGACACCACUUCCCUCUGCUGAUUCCUUUCUUAGCAAAGCUUACCACCCCCACAGCACACUACAGGGCGGGAUCACUGCCCACAUCCCAGCGGGCUCAGAUCAGUCUGGCAUGCUAAGCACUUGCUCAAGUGGCUGCAUCCAGAUGAAACUAUGGCACUGGCACACAUUCCUCUGUGCUGACAUAGAUGGGAAAGGACAAUGGUCUCUAGGAGAGGAGAAGCCACAAGCAGCUGGGGAGCAGUAGUUACACAUCGCUGUCCACUUGGUCCAUGCAGCCAUAUAACUAUUUUAAAGAAGACCAAAACUAUAGCUCCAAUAAAACUAAGAAAACUU
Phasianus colchicus (ring-necked pheasant) is the source of this 9031-nucleotide non-coding RNA. NCBI's taxonomy places the organism in Eukaryota, Metazoa, Chordata, Aves, Galliformes, Phasianidae. The record is from RefSeq and is a predicted model, not a curated record.